UUACAGAUGGUUGGGAAUUUGAAAGAUCUCGACUUUUUCUUCAAUCCCUCUUAGGAGAGAAGAUUUGCUCUUCAUGUUAUUACUCUGUUUGAUAUUUCAAGUUUCACUGUUUGUUUACCUAACAUCAUGAUUCCAUGUGGGUGAAAAAAAAUGGUUAAUCAAGCUCGAGUGUAUAAAAUUUUUCCUCUACUUUCUGUUUGUUUCCAUGGAAAUGGCUCCAGCUUUGAAUUUGUUUUUCUGUUGCAUCACACAUCAACAUGCUGAUCCUUUGACACCAUGUGAUUGAUUAGCCUAGACUUUUUUAAUGGCAAUAUUCUUCAAAUCUCCAGCUUUUCAACUCUAUUGGGGAGUUUUUUUUUUGUCUCUCCAGCUUGCAAAGAAAGUUGGAUCGGAGCAGAUGCUGUCGCUAUAGCUCAUGGCAUUUUCAGCAGAAGCCUUUUUUUUUUCCACAGAAACAAACAAAGAAUAGGGAACCUGCUUUUAUUUUAUCCUCUCUUAAGUUUGAAAGUGAUGCUGGUGAAAGGGACUGUACGUGGUAAAAUAUUUUGGAAUAGAACAGAAUAAUUUUCUAAGUCUAAAAAAUAUAUUAGACAAAAGUUAUUUUACAAAAAAAUUGUUAUGAAAAUAACUUGUUUUUCAGAUGUAUUUAGAAAUAUUUUGAUAAAAUGUUCUUAACAAUGAUCGAAAAUAUAAAGAAAGCUUCAAGAAAUUUUAUAUCUUUCUGGAAAAAGAAAAAUUAUAUUUGAAACUUUAUUAUUGAAAAUAAUUUAAAAAGAAUGAUUCCUAAAAACUAUAUUUGGA
Molecule: long non-coding RNA, 801 nt
Filed under: Vitis vinifera (wine grape)
Lineage: Eukaryota; Viridiplantae; Streptophyta; Magnoliopsida; Vitales; Vitaceae
Description: long non-coding RNA (VVIN_LNC003069)
Source: RNAcentral